GAUUUGACCCAGAAUUUAAAUUUGGCAUUGUCGGUAGAGCUUGACUCGGAGCCGUUGAGGAGCUGGACGAUCCUCUCGUAUUUCUUACGGGUCACCGUCUUGGUCUUGCCUGAGUCCCCUUUCUGUGUACUUUCAAGUUACAUGGAGACUGGCUUCUACAUUCUUGAUACUUCUGUGUAUGGAGGCAAUAUGGAGCUGUGUUCUUCAGUCAAUGAAGUAUCCACAGAAGCUAGAUGGCUCCAUGAUUUUCAUAGAUAUCAGGACCCAGCAUUUGGGUGAAAGAUAAAGACAUGGGUCAGAAAGGUGGAGAAACAGCCGCACACAUAUUGAAGGAAAACUCAGAGUACUGUACAUAUCUAAUGCUAGACAGUCUAUGUACAGUAAUGACAGGAAUGUAUGAGUAUGAAAACACACAUGCAAUCCAACAGGACAAAAAAAGAAUCCACAGAGAAGAAAGAAGUUAUAUUAGUCAUCACCUACUGCAGCAGCUAGCUCCACAAGGCCGAGAUCAACACAAAACCUUGAACUGAGGUGGUCUGGAAACUGAGUCUAAGAAACAAGAGAAGGGCGUGGAAAUGGAAGGAACCAAAGCCAGUUCAUGGGACUGCAUCUAGCUUGUUCCUAUGGGAGUUUCCAGAGCUUGAUUCUAUUCAGGUGCUUCAAAAACUCAAGAAUGGGUUUCAGAGUUCUCUGUUUCAGUGGAAAAAAAAGUUCCUAAACUCUGACUCAAGACUGUCUAUUACAUUUUCAGGUUUCUGCAAGCAUUUGAACUCUAAGUAGGCUUUGUCAGUGCUCAAAUAAUUACAAAACUUCACAGCAAAACAUGAAAGAUAUCCAUGUAUUACCAUAGCAACUGAGGUCUGACCAGAAAGGAUCUGACCAGAGCAGGUAUAUAGAAUGACCUGGCACUCAUACUACAGAGACCUAGAAAUUUUGCACAUUCAACCCGCCAAAUACCCAUCACAAUGCUGGUUGCAUGCAAUAUGUAAAACCGACUUAUAUAAUAUUCGUCUCAGCUACUGCAACUUCACACAUUUCAGUAGCUUAUCUUCCUCCUCCAGAACCCAUUCACAAUUUUCUUUGAGUUUGGAUUGCUUGCUUGAUGGGAAAAAACCUUGAAAUUUUUUUCCGAAAGGAUAUACCUUUUUUUAGUUGCUUUAAAGGAUAUACCUUUUAGUUGCUUUCUUACUUAGUUGUUAUGAUAAAACCAAUUGUUUGAUGGGAGACAUUUGUUAUAUGGUAACUUGAUAUCCCAUGGUCAAACUCUUCAACUAGGACCAGGCAGCAUGUUGGCAAUGUAUGUUUUAUACAGUUUUGUUCAUAUUUCUCUGUCUUUCAGGCUGGCCUCAAACUCCUGUUCCUCCUCCCUCAGCCUCCUGAGUACUUGGGUCACCUUUGCCCCUUUCACCUGGCAGAGAUGCAGGAGUCAGGCACUGCUGUGAGAAACGAGCCCUGACCAGACAUAAGAUGUGCUGUUUCACCUUGGUGUGGAAUUCCCAGCCCUAAACCUAAGGAAAUAAAUGUUUAUAUUUCAUAAGCUA
Molecule: long non-coding RNA, 1541 nt
Organism: Mesocricetus auratus (golden hamster)
Lineage: Eukaryota; Metazoa; Chordata; Mammalia; Rodentia; Cricetidae
Exons: 3
Source: RefSeq, a predicted model, not a curated record